GGCUUAGAAGCAGCCACUCAUUAAAAGAGUGCGUAAUAGCUCACUGGUCGAGUGAUUCUGCGCCGAAAAUUUAACGGGGCUAAACUAUACACCGAAGCUUAGGAUACCGCAAGGUAUGGUAGGAGAGCGUUCUGUACGGAGUGAAGUCGUAGCGAAAGCGGCGGUGGACUGUACAGAAGUGAGAAUGCCGGAAUAAGUAGCGAGAAUUAAGUGAGAAUCUUAAUGGCCGAAAGUCUAAGGUUUUUGGAGGAAGGUUCGUCCGCUCCAAGUAAGUCGGGAGCUAAGGUCAGGCCGAAAGGCGUAGCCGAUGCACAAACGGUUGAUAUUCCGUUACCGUCUACAAUUUAAACAAAGGGACACAUACAAAGCGUUUAACCCGGGCGAUGGUUGACCCGGGCGCAAGGGACUGAAAUAAGAGUAGGGAAGUAAAUGUGGCGUAUGGCGAGAAAAGCUUUGUGUAUAGAAGUAGACGCCCGUACCGCAAACCGACACAGGUGGACAGGAAGAGAAUUCUAAGGCCAGCGGGAGAAGGGUAGUUAAGGAACUCGGCAAAUUGACUCCGUAACUUCGGAAUAAGGAGUGCUCGAAAGAGCCGCAGAGAAUAGGCCCAGGCGACUGUUUAGCAAAAACACAGGUCUCUGCCAAAUCGAAAGAUGAAGUAUAGGGGCUGACACCUGCCCGGUGCCGGAAGGUUAAGAGGAGGAGUGCAAGCUCCGAAUUGAAGCCCCGGUAAACGGCGGCCGUAACUAUAACGGUCCUAAGGUAGCGAAAUUCCUUGUCGGGUAAGUUCCGACCCGCACGAAUGGUGUAACGAUCUGGGCACUGUCUCAACUACCCACCCGGCGAAAUUGUAGUACCGGUGAAGAUGCCGGUUACCUGCGGCAAGACGGAAAGACCCCAUGGAGCUUUACUGUAGCCUGAUAUUGGGUUUCGGAAAUCUAUGUACAGGAUAGGCGGGAGACUGGGAAGUAUGAGCGUCAGCUUAUACGGAGUCAUUGUUGGGAUACCGCCCUUAGGUUUCUGGAAUUCUAACCUGCGACCGUGAAUCCGGUCGGGGGACAUUGUCAGGUGGGCAGUUUGACUGGGGCGGUCGCCUCCGAAAAGGUAACGGAGGCGCUCAAAGGUUGGCUCAGCACGGACGGAAACCGUGCCUCUGAGUGUAAACGCAAAAGCCAGCCUAACUGCGAGGAUGACGGUCCGAGCAGUAACGAAAGUUGGAGUUAGUGAUCCGGCGGUAUGUGAAUGGAAAUGCCGUCGCUCAACGGAUAAAAGCUACCCUGGGGAUAACAGGCUGAUCUCCCCCAAGAGUCCACAUCGACGGGGAGGUUUGGCACCUCGAUGUCGGCUCAUCACAUCCUGGGGCUGUAUUCGGUCCCAAGGGUUCGGCUGUUCGCCGAUUAAAGUGGUACGCGAGCUGGGUUCAGAACGUCGCGAGACAGUUCGGUCCCUAUCUGUCGUGGGCGCAGGAUAUUUGAGGAGCUCUGUCCUUAGUACGAGAGGACCGGGAUGGACGUACCUCUGGUGCACCAGUUGUCAUGCCAAUGGCACGGCUGGGCAGCUACGUACGGAACGGAUAAACGCUGAAAGCAUCUAAGCGUGAAGCCGACUCCAAGAUUAGAUAUCCCAUUGCAUAAGCAAGUAAGACCCCUUGAGGACUACGAGGUUGAUAGGCUGCGUGUGUAAGUGUCGUGAGGCAUUUAGCUUGGCAGUACUAAUAGGUCGAGGGCUUGACCA
This 1734-nucleotide ribosomal RNA is filed under the name human gut metagenome. Its description in RNAcentral is "bacterial LSU rRNA". It matches the Rfam family "Bacterial large subunit ribosomal RNA", at positions 1103 to 2925 of the family's 2925-position model. The record is from RNAcentral.